AGGACUUGACAUCCAGAGAACUUUCCAGAGAUGGAUUGGUGCCUUCGGGAACUCUGUGACAGGUGCUGCAUGGCUGUCGUCAGCUCGUGUUGUGAAAUGUUGGGUUAAGUCCCGUAACGAGCGCAACCCUUAUCCUUAUUUGCCAGCACUUCGGGUGGGAACUCUAGGGAGACUGCCGGUGACAAACCGGAGGAAGGUGGGGACGACGUCAAGUCAUCAUGGCCCUUACGUCCUGGGCUGCACACGUGCUACAAUGGCCGGUACAGAGGGCAGCGAAGUCGCGAGGCGGAGCAAAUCUCUCAAAACCGGUCGUAGUCCGGAUUGGAGUCUGCAACUCGACUCCAUGAAGU
This 350-nucleotide ribosomal RNA is filed under the name uncultured bacterium. RNAcentral describes it as "bacterial SSU rRNA". It matches the Rfam family "Bacterial small subunit ribosomal RNA", at positions 976 to 1326 of the family's 1533-position model. The record is from RNAcentral.